This 501-nucleotide ribosomal RNA is filed under the name uncultured bacterium. RNAcentral's name for it is "partial 16S ribosomal RNA". It matches the Rfam family "Bacterial small subunit ribosomal RNA", at positions 899 to 1397 of the family's 1533-position model. The record is from RNAcentral.
ACUCAAAUGAAUUGACGGGGGCCCGCACAAGCGGUGGAGCAUGUUGCUUAAUUCGAUGCAACGCGAAGAACCUUAUCCAAGGCUUGACAUCCUGCGAAUUUCCUAGAAAUAGGGAAGUGCCUUCGGGAGCGCAGAGACAGGUGGUGCAUGGCUGUCGUCAGCUCGUGCCGUGAGGUGUUGGGUUAAGUCCCGCAACGAGCGCAACCCUCAUCGCCAGUUACCAGCGGGUAAUGCCGGGGACUCUGUCGAAACUGCCCGAGCAAUCGGGAGGAAGGUGAGGACGACGUCAAGUCCGCAUGCCCCUUAUGCCUUGGGCUGCAAACAUGCUACAAUGGGCGGUACAAACGGCUAGCCAGCCCGCGAGGGUGCGCGAAUCCGAAAAAGCCGUCCUCAGUUCGGAUUGGAGUCUGCAACUCGACUCCAUGAAGGCGGAAUCGCUAGUAACCGCAGGUCAGCAAUACUGCGGUGAAUACGUUCCCGGGCCUUGCACACACCGCCCGU